GCUAAUGGAGGAUUGAUGGAUAGCACUAAAUGCAGUAGAUAUCAUGAAGAAUCCACUGGACCCUCCAAAACAGAAAAGGAGGAGGGUGAGUUAUCUCCCAAUUGUGAUUUUGAGGAGGACAAUUUUGCUGUCUAUGGGGAUAAUGGCUUGCAGGCAUUGCCUAAGGGAAAGCAUAGCAGUGAAAGCAGGCAAAAUGAAUCUGGAAAUGGG
RNAcentral lists this unclassified non-coding RNA (210 nucleotides) under Hevea brasiliensis (rubber tree). Lineage: Eukaryota; Viridiplantae; Streptophyta; Magnoliopsida; Malpighiales; Euphorbiaceae. The record is from RNAcentral.